RNAcentral lists this ribosomal RNA (466 nucleotides) under uncultured bacterium. RNAcentral describes it as "partial 16S ribosomal RNA". It matches the Rfam family "Bacterial small subunit ribosomal RNA", at positions 28 to 507 of the family's 1533-position model. The record is from RNAcentral.
GAUGAACGCUGGCGGCGUGCUUAACACAUGCAAGUCGAACGAUGAAGCUCAGCUUGCUGGGUGGAUUAGUGGCGAACGGGUGAGUAACACGUGAGUAACCUGCCCUUAACUCUGGGAUAAGCCUGGGAAACUAGGUCUAAUACCGGAUAGGAGCGUCCACCGCAUGGUGGGUGUUGGAAAGAUUUAUCGGUUUUGGAUGGACUCGCGGCAUAUCAGCUUGUUGGUGAGGUAAUGGCUCACCAAGGCGACGACGGGUAGCCGGCCUGAGAGGGUGACCGGCCACACUGGGACUGAGACACGGCCCAGACUCCUACGGGAGGCAGCAGUGGGGAAUAUUGCACAAUGGGCGAAAGCCUGAUGCAGCGACGCCGCGUGAGGGAUGACGGCCUUCGGGUUGUAAACCUCUUUCAGUAGGGAAGAAGCGAAAGUGACGGUACCUGCAGAAGAAGCACCGGCUAACUACGUG